AGAGUUUGAUCCUGGCUCAGAGUGAACGCUGGCGGUAGGCCUAACACAUGCAAGUCGAACGGCAGCACAGAGGAGCUUGCUCCUUGGGUGGCGAGUGGCGGACGGGUGAGGAAUACAUCGGAAUCUACUCUGUCGUGGGGGAUAACGUAGGGAAACUUACGCUAAUACCGCAUACGACCUACGGGUGAAAGCAGGGGAUCUUCGGACCUUGCGCGAUUGAAUGAGCCGAUGUCGGAUUAGCUAGUUGGCGGGGUAAAGGCCCACCAAGGCGACGAUCCGUAGCUGGUCUGAGAGGAUGAUCAGCCACACUGGAACUGAGACACGGUCCAGACUCCUACGGGAGGCAGCAGUGGGGAAUUUUGCACAAUGGGGGAAACCCUGAUGCAGCAAUGCCGCGUGAGUGAAGAAGGCCUUUGGGUUGUAAACUGCUUUUGUACGGAACGAAAAAGCUCUUACUAAUACUAGGAGUCCAUGACGGUACCGUAAGAAUAAGCACCGGCUAACUACGUGCCAGCAGCCGCGGUAAUACGUAGGGUGCAAGCGUUAAUCGGAAUUACUGGGCGGAAUUGACCGGGGACCCCGCACAAAGCGGUGGAUGAUGUGGGUUUAAUUCGAUGCAACGCGAAAAACCUUACCCACCUUUGACAUGUACGGAAGUUACCAGAGAUGGUUUCGUGCUCGAAAGAGAACCGUAACACAGGUGCUGCAUGGCUGUCGUCAGCUCGUGUCGUGAGAUGUUGGGUUAAGUCCCGCAACGAGCGCAACCCUUGUCAUUAGUUGCUACGAAAGGGCACUCUAAUGAGACUGCCGGUGACAAACCGGAGGAAGGUGGGGAUGACGUCAAGUCCUCAUGGCCCUUAUAGGUGGGGCUACACACGUCAUACAAUGGCUGGUACAGAGGGUUGCCAACCCGCGAGGGGGAGCCAAUCCCAUAAAACCAGUCGUAGUCCGGAUCGCAGUCUGCAACUCGACUGCGUGAAGUCGGAAUCGCUAGUAAUCGCGGAUCAGAAUGUCGCGGUGAAUACGUUCCCGGGUCUUGUACACACCGCCCGUCACACCAUGGGAGCGGGUUCUGCCAGAAGUAGUUAGCCUAACCGUAAGGAGGGCGAUUACCACGGCAGGGUUCGUGACUGGGGUGAAGUCGUAACAAGGUAGCCG
Molecule: ribosomal RNA, 1158 nt
Filed under: uncultured beta proteobacterium
Lineage: Bacteria; Pseudomonadati; Pseudomonadota; Betaproteobacteria
Description: bacterial SSU rRNA
Rfam family: Bacterial small subunit ribosomal RNA
Source: RNAcentral